RNAcentral lists this long non-coding RNA (823 nucleotides) under Bemisia tabaci. Its description in RNAcentral is "lncRNA ENSSSA2NGG014065". The record is from RNAcentral. Lineage: Eukaryota; Metazoa; Arthropoda; Insecta; Hemiptera; Aleyrodidae.
CAAACAGAUGCGCUAGACGGUUGCAUUUCGAAUUUUGUAAGUGUUGAUUUAUCCGUUGCUCCUGUCCAUGGUGGCGUUUUUGUUUCCAAAAUGUUGGAUCUUUCAUUUAAAAUUAUACUUUGAAAUUGUGUAUAUAUUGUUCAAAAUGUGAUAGUGUUUUUUAUUGAUUUACUAUAAAAUUGCUAAUUUUUGCAGUGUACCUACAUCAACUACAUCCGUAACUGCCCUGGAAGUUUUUUUGUUUUCACGCGUUCACUGGGUCAGAUGUGACUUCAUCAUUUUCAACAAAAGGACCUUGUUGUAUGCUCGGAUGAAAGAAGCUUCACGCAGGAGUUAUCUCUGUUAGGCCUCACUUGAAAAUUGUAUUUUGAGGGCAGCCAACUACAUUACUAUCAAAGUCAAGACCGACGAUUGGCAGAAACAGCGAGGGAAAGGAGGCCCUUUGACAAAAAUGACUAUUAUGUCGGAUUCGACGAAGGACGUCGUGGCCAGCUGCGAGAAGAACCUCGAGAGGGCCUUGCAAAUCCAGUUGGAAGCCUAUCGGGAUGGCGAUAUCUCCUUGGGGGAUACCAUGUCGACGACGAUAGCUCUCCUGUUGGAAGCUCAGACGGAGAGGGCCAGGGCGGUCAAGAGGACGAGCGGGUCCUCGGGCGGUAGUCUCGGAGUAGGCAGCGCAACGCCUGCAAAUUCAUCCGCGCAAGACGGGCCCGUCGCUGCGUCAACGCCCAAGAAGAAGGCUAGAGGGGAAGCCGAGAAGACCGUUUCGGACCGAGAGGAGGACGAGUCACCCGUCGUGGAAGGGGAGGCGACGGAACAAAUCUGA